RNAcentral lists this long non-coding RNA (910 nucleotides) under Cicer arietinum (chickpea). RNAcentral describes it as "long non-coding RNA (CARI_LNC003366)". The record is from RNAcentral. Lineage: Eukaryota; Viridiplantae; Streptophyta; Magnoliopsida; Fabales; Fabaceae.
AAAAUCUUUAAGUCAUGAGAAAGAUAGAACAUGCACUAAACUCAAAUUUUGAACAAUAUAUAUAUAUAUAUGCAUAUAUCUAGGCUGCACCAUAAUCAACUAAAUUGCAUAAUCAUCACCCAUGAUUAUAAACAUAUUCAAUACUAAUUAACAAUUCUAUGUUUCUAGUAAAAAAAAAAAAAAAAAAGCUACCCCAAAAAAGUAAAAAUAUGUACAUGAAGUAUACCCCAACGGAUUGAAUUACCUACUAUCCCAAAAAUGUAAGCUCUUUGCCCCCUAACAAUUCAAUUGGCAUGACGAUUAAUUAAUUGAUUGAAGUGAAAAAUUAUACACAACCAUGGCCACCACCAUCACAAGUGCAACCACCGUUGCCGGAGAUAAUAUCACUGUCUCGUCGAGGUUUAGUGCUUAAACAACAACAUAGAAGAGCCACCAACAACAUAAAUCCCCAUGCUGUAGCCAAAGCUUGUACCCAACUCAAGUAUUUUCCCAUUCUUUCUUCUUACAUAUAUAUCCCCCUAUAUAUGUCUCUUGAGUUUAAUUUUCAGCUCCUUUCAUUACCUUUGAUAUAUAUCACAAGUACCAUCAAUUAUGAAUUUUAAGACUUGAAAUCACCAAAGGGCGGUAUGAUUAAUAUGAUAUAUCUUUAGCCUUUAGAGAAAAAAGAAUAUUUUGUAUCAAUUGGGAUAAUAUGGUGGUAUAGCACAUGGUGUGAGCUUGAAAGAGUGCAAAAUAACAUGGGGCCAACCUGUAAUUUUUGUGGUUACACCUUAAUUGUAGUAAUGCUCUUCCACCUCUUAUAAUCGUUUGAAAGGCUAAAAAGCAAAGAGUAAUAAAUUUGGUUCGUUUUCCUUAUUAAAAGUCUUUUUUUUUUUUUUGGUAUAAAUGCUUACACUAGGGAAUCUUGUCG